AGUCUCCAUGAAAGGCAGCAGUGGUGGAAAAUCAGGUAAGAUCUCUAGGCAAGGACCAGAACUCAUGGCCUGUGUAACCCAGGGUUUCUCACCCUCGGAGCAAUUGGUAUUUGGGCUGGAUAAUUCUUUGUUAUGGGAGGCUGUCUGUGAGGUGUAUGGUCUUUAGCAGUCUUUCUGGCCUCUGUCCAUAAGGAGAUAGUAGCAUUCCCUCUCCAUAUGACAGCCAAAACAGUCUCCAGACAUUGGUAAAUGUCCUCUGGGAAGCAAAAUUGCCCCUGGUUGAGAAUCACUAUUUCAGACCAUGAAAAAGGAUUUAUGUUCAUCCUAUGAGUUUUACCAAGUCCUUGGCCUUUGAGCUUUGAGCAGGAGAAUUACAGGGCCUGAUCGACAUGAGGACAACUCUGGACAUGAGAAUAAGAAGGAAAUCAGCAGUGGGAAGGCAAUGGGAAAGAUCCAGGGUCUUUGCAGAUGCAAUUCAUUAAGAUAAGAUGAAGUCAUGCUGGAUUCGGGUGGGCCUAAUAACCAGUGCCCUUAUGAGAAGAGGACAGGAUCCACAGAGAAUACCUAGAGCAGAAGGCCAUCUAAAGGCAGAAGCAGAGACUGGAGUAAUACACCCACCAGGGAAGGUAGGUUUGCCAGAGAAAAUCGCAUGCCGAGCUCACCUUGUCCGUGGACCAGCACACAAGCCAUGCCUGGACACCUCCCUCCACCAAGGCUGCCAGUCAGGGGAUUUCAGCUUCUACUCAGCAGGGGGAAGAAAAAUGGACCAUGUUAUAACAAAUAACAUGGCGGUGAACUCUGUGGAUGGUGGAGUUGUUCUGUGUGCUCCAGUUCCUACCGAGAUUGUGCCUAACUCAUCAUGAAUCUCAGCAGCAGCAGCAUGGACACCAUCACCAGCAGAAGCGUUUGCAAGUAUCCAAUUAUGGGUUAGAGACUCUGCAAGGAAAUUACAUUCACCCAGCACCUGGCCAGAACCUAAGACUUGUUUCAGCACUUCUUGCAAUUAGCAGAGGGCAGUUGCCUCCGUGGUGUGUAGCCAGUUGGGGUGAUGAGCAAUUCUCCCCACAAAAGCCUCAUGAGACAUCUGGUGACUGAGUUCGCAAUGGCACUGCCUCAGUGUGUGUGCCCAUAAAAAGGCAAGCUGACAGUACCCGUCUAGGACAGGGUUCACCAGGCUUGUCUGUGCCUGCCUCUGCUAAGAUGCUCUCAAGGGACUGCUAGAUUCCCACCCUCUUUAUUUAACAGUUCUUCCAACAGAGAGGCAGAACCUACUUCAUUCAGCUGCUUUCCUCUCUCCCCAGUUUCAGAAUUACUAUAAUUGCCCAUUGCAGUUGUUCGGCAUUCAUGUCAAUUUCAGUACAAGCUGGAGAAUUCAGGAGAAGUUGUAAGGUGUGAGGGUUGGGAGUUGCAUCCACUUGUCAGGGAAAUUGCGAUGUCCGAGGCAGGUCUGAGGCCUUUGCUACUUGGAUCGCUCCAGCAGAAUGCAUUGAGGGAGGUCUCCAGGAAGAAAUGUCCCUCCAUGGCCAAUUGCAUGCCGCAUUGGGGAGGGAGGUGUCAAACAAUGGUAAAGUGGAUAGAUAGUAAAGUGUCUUUUACCAUCUCUUAUAAAGACAAGUGACACUCUGAGAUAAAAAGCCACAAGGCCUCUUCUAAAGUUUAUAUUUACAGAGGCUCUGUGACUGCAUGGCCACUUUUCUCAGCAGCUAUAGCAGGUCUUGGAAUAACAUUGCUUCAUUCAACAUCACUUUAUUAUAAUGUUGAUGAGAAAAAAUAUCGAUUCUCAGCUAAGGCCAC
Molecule: long non-coding RNA, 1794 nt
Organism: Homo sapiens (human)
Lineage: Eukaryota; Metazoa; Chordata; Mammalia; Primates; Hominidae
Source: Ensembl